UGGCUGAGCGCGGGGAUAUAAGCCCCGAAAGGAAAGCCCUGAGCAGAGGAGGCCUCAGCUUGACCUGUCCCAGUGCGCCCUUGAAACUUUCCUCGCCUUCCACCUCCUGCUCAUCUGCUUCACAAGCUGUCGCUGUGAGUGGCUGGAGCUCAAGCAUGGUCUGGUACUAGGAAAUCCAGGCUGUUUUGUGGGGAAACUGAGGCUGGGAUGGUGGAAGCUGGGGGUGAGUGGUGGGAAACUGGAUUGGAGGGGGCCAUUGGAGGUGGGAAGGAGGCCCGGGAGUCCCGUUGCCAGCACAACCCUCUUUAAUCUACCUCUCUGGACAGCAGCGGGGGUGGGGGUGGGGUUACGUCAGGCAGGGCUUAUGUCCCUCUGACAGAUUAGGAAACUGAGGCAGGAGACGGUGCAGUGCCGGAGAACAUAUGGCAAGCUGGUGGCUGAACCUUGGUCCGCUACCAGCCCCAGGGAGAGCACCGGAGCACGGCCCCGACGGCAGCCGCAGCCUCCCGCCGUGGAGGGUCGAGGCUCGGAAUGACCCACACCCCAAUGUCGCCUUCCCAGGUGGUGUCGGUUCGCAGGUCGUGGCCUCUCAUGGCCACGGUGCUUUUGGCCCUGCUCGUCUACCUGGGGGCGCUGGUCGACGCCUACCCCAUCAAACCCGAGGCUCCCGGCGAAGACGCCUUCCUGGGGUAGCUGAGCCGCUGCUACGCCUAUCCUCGCCACUACCUCAUCCUGGUCACUCAGC
Molecule: long non-coding RNA, 745 nt
Filed under: Homo sapiens (human)
Lineage: Eukaryota; Metazoa; Chordata; Mammalia; Primates; Hominidae
Description: non-protein coding lnc-NLK-5:3
Source: RNAcentral